AGUGAACGCUGGCGGUAGGCCUAACACAUGCAAGUCGAACGGCAGCACAGUAAGAGCUUGCUCUUACGGGUGGCGAGUGGCGGACGGGUGAGGAAUACAUCGGAAUCUACUUUUUCGUGGGGGAUAACGUAGGGAAACUUACGCUAAUACCGCAUACAACCUACUGGUGAAAUCAGGGGAUCUUCGGACCUUGCGCGAUUGAAUGAGCCGAUGUCGGAUUAGCUAGUUGGCGGGGUAAAGGCCCACCAAGGCGACGAUCCGUAGCUGGUCUGAGAGGAUGAUCAGCCACACUGGAACUGAGACACGGUCCAGACUCCUACGGGAGGCAGCAGUGGGGAAUAUUGGACAAUGGGCGCAAGCCUGAUCCAGCCAUACCGCGUGGGUGAAGAAGGCCUUCGGGUUGUAAAGCCCUUUUGUUGGGAAAGAAAAGCAGCAGGUUAAUACCCCGCUGUUCUGACGGUACCCAAAGAAUAAGCACCGGCUAACUUCGUG
RNAcentral lists this ribosomal RNA (492 nucleotides) under uncultured bacterium. RNAcentral's name for it is "partial 16S ribosomal RNA". It matches the Rfam family "Bacterial small subunit ribosomal RNA", at positions 29 to 507 of the family's 1533-position model. The record is from RNAcentral.